Rhipicephalus sanguineus (brown dog tick) is the source of this 391-nucleotide long non-coding RNA. RefSeq lists it as uncharacterized. The transcript is spliced from 4 exons. Lineage: Eukaryota; Metazoa; Arthropoda; Arachnida; Ixodida; Ixodidae. The record is from RefSeq and is a predicted model, not a curated record.
CUCGAGCCUGAAAUGUCUCACUGCCGACCGGACAGAAUACAAGCCGAACAAGAAGGUCGUUUACACCUGGCACCUGAGUGGGGACCAAGGGUCGAAAAAAGACACGUAUGUGGUCGAAUAUCACCCGGGCCCUUCAGAUGACACGGUGUUUGCCAUUACGAACAAUGACAAGAAGCACCCUACGUUAGUCAAAUUUGACUACACCAAUAACAAGAACUGUGUUGUUGCCAACUUUCCGUACAAGGGCGAAGUGUGCAUACUGUGGGUGCCCAAAGCGUAUGUAUCGUCAUAUCCACAAGAAUGCGUCGAUCAUUUUGAAGACAUUUGCGACGCCGAAGUUCCCGUGUACCAAGAGGGUCUAUGUAACGAGGCUCGGAGCGGUUAAUAAAAC